This 250-nucleotide ribosomal RNA is filed under the name uncultured bacterium. RNAcentral's name for it is "partial 16S ribosomal RNA". It matches the Rfam family "Bacterial small subunit ribosomal RNA", at positions 813 to 1058 of the family's 1533-position model. The record is from RNAcentral.
UAACUAGCUGCCAGGGCUCUUAGAGCUUUGGUGGCGCAGCUAACGCAUUAAGUUAUCCGCCUGGGGAGUACGGUCGCAAGAUUAAAACUCAAAGGAAUUGACGGGGGCCUGCACAAGCGGUGGAGCAUGUGGUUUAAUUCGAAGCAACGCGCAGAACCUUACCAGCGUUUGACAUCCUCAUCGCGGAUUCCAGAGAUGGAUUCCUUCAGUUCGGCUGGAUGAGUGACAGGUGCUGCAUGGCUGUCGUCAG